Molecule: ribosomal RNA, 318 nt
Filed under: Triticum aestivum (bread wheat)
Lineage: Eukaryota; Viridiplantae; Streptophyta; Magnoliopsida; Poales; Poaceae
Description: partial small subunit ribosomal RNA
Source: RNAcentral
AUGCCCCUUCAGUGCUCGCUUUUGUCUUCCCCUGAUGUUCAUUGUCUCAAGGCUACUGGGCUAGGAGUAGUCAUAUGCAAGUUCUGGCUAUCGCCCCUAUCCUCUUUCCUGCAGUCUGUACUUCCUGCUCAAUUUGCAAUGCAUGAUGAGAGAGAUAUGGCGAGGGAGGUGGCGAGGAAGUCGUUGGUGAUCUUGAAGAAUGGCAAGACGCCGAGCGAUGCCCCGCUGCACCAACUGCCCAAGACGCCGAGCGACGCGCAGCUGCUGCCGCUGCCCAAGAAGAUGACAAGCACAAAUGAUGGUUUGAUCUGUGUGUAG